ACGAAGUAAAGUAGUCCAUUCUUUAUUCUUAUGGAAGAGAUUAACUACUUUUAAGAAAGGUGUAUUCUAGAACAAAAAUUCAUUUUUUAGUUAUAAGCAUUUUUUUUGUUAGGCAAUCAGCGCACUUUUUAUCUUCUCUAUAAAUUUGUAUAAAUUUUAUAUUCAAAUUCCUAUUUUUGCAGUUCAAAAUUUUUUCUUACAAGUGUAUUUGGGUGCUUGCUAAGAUUGUUCCUUUCAUUUAUCAGGCUUAUCACCGAAGCGGCAUCACCUUCCACUAUCAAAUUUCGCACACCCAUCGUCCAUGCAAGCUUCAGCUCCUACACAAUAUCCCACAGCUCUCUGCCUUCUAAAAAGUUUUUUCUUUGUCAAGAAUAUCUUCAAGCUCCUUGUUAAAAUCUUGCUCCAGCUUGUCUAGCUGAUCUUGCACCUUAGUGGAUGGUUGGUGCUUGUGUGGAGCCCCCAAGGCACCUCCAUCGCCAUUCAUGGUAGCAAAAACGAAGGGAAGCUCAAAAUAUACGAAAAGAAAAUGCAGCGGCUAAUUUUUGUGGAUUGAAUUUGUUUAUUGUUGACCAAUCCCUUAUAUUUUUUGUGUACCCAAAGAAAAGAAAACUACAUGUUCCACUAUAUGAACAGAUCUUUCAACAAACUAUAAGCAGUGUUGUCAAAAUCGGACCGAACCAGCCAUGUGAUCGGUCCGGAUAAUGCACACAACAAGAUAAGGAAAAAAAUCGGAAGGAAUCGAUUUGAACCGGUCAGUUUGGUAAAAAACCGGCAAGCCAGUCGGAUUUUAAAACCCGGACCGGUUUGAAUUGAAAAAAAUUUAAAAAAAAGACCCUAUUUGCCCAUCCCCAAAUAUAGCACUACUCUCCCGUUCUCCUUCCCUUCAGAGUUCAAAGAGACUGAGACUUCCCCCCAUCUUUGUCUCUUUCAAGCUUUAGCUUCACCUUGCUACUCUCCCCCAUUCUCCAAUUCGUGACUUCGUCUUUCCUGUCCUCCUGAAGAACCGAACAGCUGAAUCCACCUUCCAAAACGGUAGUCAUCCCAACUCUGUCUCUGUCACCUCGGUUCACUGCCACGGCACCACCACACACUCAGCUCUGUUGCCACACCUCUCGCUGGAUCUACCAGCUCUCCUCCCUCGCGUCUCCUCCUUCAGCCGCCUGCGUCUCGCUUGCGUCUCUGUCUCUAUCUCUGUCUCAAAUAACAUAUAUAAAUUUUUUUGUUUAUAAAAUUACUAAGAAAGAAAGAAAAUUAUACAGGUACUAUUUUUAUCUGCAUCAAAAGUGGUCUAUCUUCUUUUUUUUAUAUUAAAAC
Molecule: non-coding RNA, 1314 nt
Organism: Arachis ipaensis
Lineage: Eukaryota; Viridiplantae; Streptophyta; Magnoliopsida; Fabales; Fabaceae
Source: RefSeq, a predicted model, not a curated record